Molecule: ribosomal RNA, 492 nt
Filed under: uncultured bacterium
Lineage: Bacteria
Description: partial 16S ribosomal RNA
Rfam family: Bacterial small subunit ribosomal RNA
Source: RNAcentral
AGUGAACGCUGGCGGUAGGCCUAACACAUGCAAGUCGAACGGCAGCACAGUAAGAGCUUGCUCUUACGGGUGGCGAGUGGCGGACGGGUGAGGAAUACAUCGGAAUCUACUUUUUCGUGGGGGAUAACGUAGGGAAACUUACGCUAAUACCGCAUACGACCUACGGGUGAAAGCAGUGGAUCUUCGGACCUUGCGCGAUUGAAUGAGCCGAUGUCGGAUUAGCUAGUUGGCGGGGUAAAGGCCCACCAAGGCGACGAUCCGUAGCUGGUCUGAGAGGAUGAUCAGCCACACUGGAACGGAGACACGGUCCAGACUCCUACGGGAGGCAGCAGUGGGGAAUAUUGGACAAUGGGCGCAAGCCUGAUCCAGCCAUACCGCGUGGGUGAAGAAGGCCUUCGGGUUGUAAAGCCCUUUUGUUGGGAAAGAAAAGCAGCAGGUUAAUACCCCGCUGUUCUGACGGUACCCAAAGAAUAAGCACCGGCUAACUUCGUG